UACGUAGGGUGCAAGCGUUGUCCGGAAUUAUUGGGCGUAAAGAGCUCGUAGGCGGCUUGUCGCGUCUGCCGUGAAAGCCCGGAGCUCAACUCCGGGUCUGCGGUGGGUACGGGCAGGCUAGAGUGCGGUAGGGGAGAUUGGAAUUCCUGGUGUAGCGGUGGAAUGCGCAGAUAUCAGGAGGAACACCGAUGGCGAAGGCAGAUCUCUGGGCCGCUACUGACGCUGAGGAGCGAAAGCAUGGGGAGCGAACAGG
This 253-nucleotide ribosomal RNA is filed under the name uncultured bacterium. RNAcentral describes it as "partial 16S ribosomal RNA". It matches the Rfam family "Bacterial small subunit ribosomal RNA", at positions 524 to 776 of the family's 1533-position model. The record is from RNAcentral.